This 433-nucleotide ribosomal RNA is filed under the name uncultured bacterium. Its description in RNAcentral is "partial 16S ribosomal RNA". It matches the Rfam family "Bacterial small subunit ribosomal RNA", at positions 29 to 507 of the family's 1533-position model. The record is from RNAcentral.
AACGAACGCUGGCGGCAUGCCUAACACAUGCAAGUCGAACGAGACCUUCGGGUCUAGUGGCGCACGGGUGCGUAACGCGUGGGAACCUGCCCUUAGGUUCGGAAUAACUCCCCGAAAGGGGUGCUAAUACCGGAUAAUGUCUUCGGACCAAAGAUUUAUCGCCUUUGGAUGGGCCCGAGUUGGAUUAGCUAGUUGGUAGGGUAAAAGCCUACCAAGGCGACGAUCCAUAGCUGGUCUGAGAGGAUGAGCAGCCACACUGGGACUGAGACACGGCCCAGACUCCUACGGGAGGCAGCAGUGGGGAAUAUUGGACAAUGGGCGAAAGCCUGAUCCAGCAAUGCCGCGUGAGUGAUGAAGGCCUUAGGGUUGUAAAGCUCUUUUACCCGGGAUGAUAAUGACAGUACCGGGAGAAUAAGCUCCGGCUAACUCCGUG